GAUGAACGCUGGCGGCGUGCCUAAUACAUGCAAGUCGAGCGAACAGACGAGGAGCUUGCUCCUCUGACGUUAGCGGCGGACGGGUGAGUAACACGUGGAUAACCUACCUAUAAGACUGGGAUAACUUCGGGAAACCGGAGCUAAUACCGGAUAAUAUAUUGAACCGCAUGGUUCAAUAGUGAAAGACGGUUUUGCUGGCACUUAUAGAUGGAUCCGCGCCGCAUUAGCUAGUUGGUAAGGUAACGGCUUACCAAGGCAACGAGGCGUAGCCGACCUGAGAGGGUGAUCGGCCACCCUGGAACUGAGACACGGUCCAGGCUCCUACGAGAGGCAGCAGUAGGGAAUCUUCCGCAAUGGGCGAAAGCCUGACGGAGCAACGCCGCGUGAGUGAUGAAGGUCUUCGGAUCGUAAAACUCUGUUAUUAGGGAAGAACAAAUGUGUAAGUAACUAUGCACGUCUUGACGGUACCUAAUCAGAAAGCCACGGCUAACUACGUG
This 497-nucleotide ribosomal RNA is filed under the name uncultured bacterium. Its description in RNAcentral is "partial 16S ribosomal RNA". It matches the Rfam family "Bacterial small subunit ribosomal RNA", at positions 28 to 507 of the family's 1533-position model. The record is from RNAcentral.